RNAcentral lists this ribosomal RNA (497 nucleotides) under uncultured bacterium. RNAcentral describes it as "partial 16S ribosomal RNA". It matches the Rfam family "Bacterial small subunit ribosomal RNA", at positions 28 to 507 of the family's 1533-position model. The record is from RNAcentral.
GAUGAACGCUGGCGGCGUGCCUAAUACAUGCAAGUCGAGCGAACAGACGAGGAGCUUGCUCCUUUGACGUUAGCGGCGGACGGGUGAGUAACACGUGGAUAACCUACCUAUAAGACUGGGAUAACUUCGGGAAACCGGAGCUAAUACCGGAUAAUAUAUUGAACCGCAUGGUUCAAUAGUGAAAGAUGGUUUUGCUGUCACUUAUAGAUGGAUCCGCGCCGCAUUAGCUAGUUGGUAAGGUAACGGCUUACCAAGGCAACGAUGCGUAGCCGACCUGAGAGGGUGAUCGGCCACACUGGAACUGAGACACGGUCCAGACUCCUACGGGAGGCAGCAGUAGGGAAUCUUCCGCAAUGGGCGAAAGCCUGACGGAGCAACGCCGCGUGAGUGAUGAAGGUCUUCGGAUCGUAAAACUCUGUUAUUAGGGAAGAACAAAUGUGUAAGUAACUAUGCACGUCUUGACGGUACCUAAUCAGAAAGCCACGGCUAACUACGUG